RNAcentral lists this ribosomal RNA (552 nucleotides) under Triticum aestivum (bread wheat). Its description in RNAcentral is "partial small subunit ribosomal RNA". Lineage: Eukaryota; Viridiplantae; Streptophyta; Magnoliopsida; Poales; Poaceae. The record is from RNAcentral.
AUGCCGGACGUGGUAAAUGUUGCGGAACAAGUAGAAGUUAUAACCACACCUUAUCAGAGAGACCCCGAUAAACAUUGUCAAAUUUGGGAGCUCCCACCGGACAAGCAAGAUGACACUCGGCAUUUUUAUAUAUCUAAGGGAGCAUAUCGACCGGAGUUGGAAGAAUACCCAUUUGAUGAAAAUUCUAAACACCGUCGUCGAUUUCAAAAAGAUUGGUACACAAAUUUCUGGUGGCUUGAGUAUUCAAUACACAAUGAUAGCGCAUAUUAUUUGACGUGCUUUCUCUUCUCAAAAAAACCUGUUGGGAGAUGUUGGUCUGAUACAUUCUUGGUCAAGGGUUUUAGAAACUGGAAAAAGGUUAACGAUGGAAAAGUGUGUGCAUUUUUAACUCAUGUUGGGGGCCCGGACUCUGCUCACAACUAUUCCACUCGGUGCUAUGAAGAUCUCAAGACCAGUAUGGCUCAUAUCGACAAGGUGAUGGAAAAGCAAAAUGAGAAAUAAGCUACUGAUGCGAUAUUGAGGCUUAAGACUACCAUCGAUGCCAUGAGGUAA